Acanthosepion pharaonis is the source of this 113-nucleotide non-coding RNA. The record is from the annotation of a GenBank genome assembly. NCBI's taxonomy places the organism in Eukaryota, Metazoa, Mollusca, Cephalopoda, Sepiida, Sepiidae.
UACAGCCAUAUCACAUUGAAACACCCAUUCUUGUUCAAUCACCAGAGUUAAGCAACUUUGAGCCUGGUCAGUACCUAGAUAGGUGACCAUUUGGGAAUACUUGAUGCUGUAAG